UACGAAGGGGGCUAGCGUUGCUCGGAAUCACUGGGCGUAAAGGGCGCGUAGGCGGCCGAUUAAGUCGGGGGUGAAAGCCUGUGGCUCAACCACAGAAUUGCCUCGAUACUGGUUGGCUUGAGACCGGAAGAGGACAGCGGAACUGCGAGUGUAGAGGUGAAAUUCGUAGAUAUUCGCAAGAACACCAGUGGCGAAGGCGGCUGUCUGGUCCGGUUCGUGACGCUGAGGCGCGAAAGCGUGGGGAGCAAACAGG
RNAcentral lists this ribosomal RNA (253 nucleotides) under uncultured bacterium. RNAcentral's name for it is "partial 16S ribosomal RNA". It matches the Rfam family "Bacterial small subunit ribosomal RNA", at positions 524 to 776 of the family's 1533-position model. The record is from RNAcentral.